GUGCAGACCUUAUCCAGCGAGGCUCAGCCUGCUGUGGCUCUGAUCUUUCCUGUAGUGUCUGCUAGAGAGACGUGAGGCUUGUUUGAGGCCCUGCUGUGACUCUUCACGGCGGGGUUAUAGGUAAACCUCCGACAUUG
This is a small nucleolar RNA of Sebastes umbrosus (honeycomb rockfish), 137 nucleotides long. RefSeq annotates it as small nucleolar RNA SNORA9. NCBI's taxonomy places the organism in Eukaryota, Metazoa, Chordata, Actinopteri, Perciformes, Sebastidae. The transcript has a single exon. The record is from RefSeq and is a predicted model, not a curated record.